This 1180-nucleotide ribosomal RNA is filed under the name Cibicides wuellerstorfi. RNAcentral's name for it is "SSU rRNA". It matches the Rfam family "Eukaryotic small subunit ribosomal RNA", at positions 36 to 568 of the family's 1831-position model. The record is from RNAcentral. Lineage: Eukaryota; Foraminifera; Rotaliida; Cibicididae.
CUCAAAGAUUAAGCCAUGCAAGUGGUUAUAUUAACCCGACAGUUUAAAUAAGUGUUAAAUGCUACCAUUAAACUUAUCAUAUAUCACGCAUAGACCGAUUUUGUUUACAGUAGUAACAAUUUCAGCGUGAAUCACCCAUCACAGUGAAUCACUGAAAUUUACCCAAUAUCAGUAUCACUUACGCAACUGCAGACAGCUGCUUAAUACAGUCACACUUGUCUUGACUUGGCGCAAUAAAAAUUUUCAUUGAAACACCCGUUCUGCGGGCAGAUCGGUGAUCAUUUUUGUUUUGUUGCAUUCACGCAUACAAAAUUUUUUGAUUUCUCUGUAUCGCUUAUUCUUAAGGACAACGCGUUACACCGUGACAAAUUUCUUUAUGGAUAACUCAGGGAAAGUUUGGCUAAUACGUACGAGUAUAUUUUUUUCUACACACACACACACACACACACACACACACUCAAAUUAUUUUUGUAUUGCUGUGUAUCAACUACUACUCAGCACUCAAUGGUAAACUUUGGCUGCGCUUGCGCGGUCAGUUUAAAGUUUAACUGCAACAUGAGAGACAUUGAGCACGCACGUGUUGUGUCUCNGACGCUUCACAUCACGCUGAGCAGACUUUGCGAAGUUUACUUUGCGAAGCAUGUCAUACAAGCAUCUACAGCAUCAAGUCACAGGGUUGGCAAGUGUAUUUUUGAACCUUCAAAGCAGUCACGCAUACGGAAGAGUAGUUUCUGAUCCCAUAGAAGGAGCACCGUACAAUGAGAGACCGCUCUUAGUUCUAAGGAACGCAGCAGGCGCGUAAAUUGCCCAAUGCUAGUACCCUACAAUCAAAUUGUAUUUACAUGCGUUAACAAUUUACAACAUACAAGUUUUAAUGACAGACAUUAUCAACACUUUCAUUUUUUCUGUUAUACAUCAUACACAUAUAUCCUUGUUCGUUGUACAUCAGCAUAUAUAGUAUUAAUUUAUUAUUUUACUGAGGCAGUGACAAGCUGUAACGGUUGAGUAUAAAAAUGACGAGUGUCUGGCAUUGCCGCUCUUUCGGGAGCUUGGCAAGUUGCCGACGCUUUGUGUGCUCAAUUGGAAUGCGGUGAGUUUAAGCAACUCAGAACCUUUGGACGGUGUUAGUAAAAUUUCACUGUUUAUGUAUCUGAAUUUCAAGUGGAGGGCAAGUCUGGUG